CCCUUAGAUGUUCUGGGCCGCACGCGCGCUACACUGAUGCAUUCAACGAGUCUAAAACCUGCUCUGAUAGGGGUGGGUAAUCUUUUGAAUGUGCAUCGUGAUUGGGAUAGAUGAUUGCAAUUUUUCAUCUUCAACGAGGAAUGCCUAGUAAACGCAAGUCAUCAGCUUGCAUUGAUUACGUCCCUGCCCUUUGUACACACCGCCCGUCGCUCCUACCGAUUGAAUGAUCCGAUGAGUAUCAUGGAUUGAGGAUGCAAGUAGGUUCGCCUAUCUUCAUCUUCGAGAAGUGAAGUAAAUCUUAUCAUUUAGAGGAAGGAGAAGUCGUAACA
Molecule: ribosomal RNA, 329 nt
Filed under: uncultured eukaryote
Lineage: Eukaryota
Description: partial 18S ribosomal RNA
Rfam family: Eukaryotic small subunit ribosomal RNA
Source: RNAcentral